Molecule: ribosomal RNA, 497 nt
Filed under: uncultured bacterium
Lineage: Bacteria
Description: partial 16S ribosomal RNA
Rfam family: Bacterial small subunit ribosomal RNA
Source: RNAcentral
GACGAACGCUGGCGGCGUGCUUAACACAUGCAAGUCGAGCGGAAGGACGCUGAGCUUGUUGGUGGCAUGAGUGCGGAGGAGGGGAGUAUAACGCGUGGAAAAUGCACUUGUCAUUGUGGGAUAAUCUGGGGAAAGGGGCGCUUAUCGCGGAGAAUAUUCUGCAGCAUGUGGUGGAAUGGAGAAAGACGGUGGUGGUGUAUGUAAUAGAGGGAUCCGCGCUGCAUUAGCUAGUUGGUGAGGUAACGGCCUAUCAAGGCAACGAGGCAUAAGCGAGGUGAGGGGGGGAUCGCCCACACGGGAGCUGAGACAGCGUCCAGACGCCUACGGGAGGCAGCAGUAGCGUACCUUACGCAAUGGGCGAAAGCCUGACGGAGCAACGCCGAGUGAGUGAUAGCGGCCUUCGGUGCGUAAAACUCUGUUAUGAGGGAAGAACAUCUGUGUCAGUAACUGUGCACAGCUUGACGGUACCUAAUCAGAAAGCAACGGCUAACUACGUG